GUUAAACAUGUGUGGAGGUGUCUGAAGUAAUGAUUGUUCGGGAUUUAUAAAUUUAACUGUAGGUACGUGUUCAUAAUAAUUCAAGACAUGCGUAGUGCAUCCAAAUUCGAAACAUGGUCCAAGCAUACUGUUGGAACAAAUCUAAACACAAUUGAAAUCCGUUCAUUAAACACCUUUACGGAAAUUUAAAAAGGAACAAAAUUUACGUAUUAUGUACAUACAUGUUUUUAUUAGAGGUUUUAGUGCGCGAUUCGACUCGAAAAUUUCAACUCGUUAACGAGACGAAAAGUUUAAAGUGCGCGAUCGAUAAUGCGGUUUGCCGAAAGUGAUUAGUAAAUUUCGGUAUCGGUGGUUUCGGUGUGUCGCGAAUCGAUUUUAAAAGUGUUGGACAAUAUGGAAACUGGUAUAUGGGUAUGGAAUAUGGAUAUGGAGAUUCUGUUUCGUGGAUAAUAAUAAGUGAGUACAUUUUUUUACUUAUCAAAUUAGGUUAGGUAAUUACGUUUUUUAAUGAGAGUACGUUGAU
Long non-coding RNA from Diorhabda carinulata, 523 nucleotides. RefSeq lists it as uncharacterized. The transcript is spliced from 3 exons. The record is from RefSeq and is a predicted model, not a curated record. Lineage: Eukaryota; Metazoa; Arthropoda; Insecta; Coleoptera; Chrysomelidae.